RNAcentral lists this transfer RNA (104 nucleotides) under Nitrososphaeria archaeon. RNAcentral describes it as "tRNA-OTHER". It matches the Rfam family "tRNA". From Rfam's summary of the family: Transfer RNA (tRNA) molecules are approximately 80 nucleotides in length. Their secondary structure includes four short double-helical elements and three loops (D, anti-codon, and T loops). The record is from RNAcentral. Lineage: Archaea; Thermoproteati; Nitrososphaerota; Nitrososphaeria.
GGGGCCGUGGUCUAGCAUGGUCUAUGACUCCGCAAAAUCACUGCGGGGUAGAACACUCCAGCCUGGGGCGCUGGAAAUCCUGGGUUCGAAUCCCAGCGGCCCCA